CCUACGGGAGGCUGCAGUGGGGAAUAUUGGACAAUGGGCGAAAGCCUGAUCCAGCCAUGCCGCGUGUGUGAAGAAGGCCUUCGGGUUGUAAAGCACUUUCAGUGGGGAAGAAAGCCUUGGGGCUAAUACCCUCGAGGAAGGACAUCACCCACAGAAGAAGCACCGGCUAACUCCGUGCCAGCAGCCGCGGUAAUACGGAGGGUGCGAGCGUUAAUCGGAAUUACUGGGCGUAAAGCGCGCGUAGGCGGUCUGAUAAGCCGGUUGUGAAAGCCCCGGGCUCAACCUGGGAACGGCAUCCGGAACUGUCAGGCUAGAGUGCAGGAGAGGAAGGUAGAAGUACCGGUGUAGCGGUGAAAUGCGUAGAGAUCGGGAGGAAUACCAGUGGCGAAGGCGGCCUUCUGGACUGACACUGACGCUGAGGUGCGAAAGCGUGGGUAGCAAACAGGAUUAGAUACCCCAGUAGUCC
Molecule: ribosomal RNA, 466 nt
Filed under: Vreelandella stevensii
Lineage: Bacteria; Pseudomonadati; Pseudomonadota; Gammaproteobacteria; Oceanospirillales; Halomonadaceae
Description: partial 16S ribosomal RNA
Rfam family: Bacterial small subunit ribosomal RNA
Source: RNAcentral